Vollenhovia emeryi is the source of this 378-nucleotide long non-coding RNA. RefSeq lists it as uncharacterized. NCBI's taxonomy places the organism in Eukaryota, Metazoa, Arthropoda, Insecta, Hymenoptera, Formicidae. The transcript is spliced from 4 exons. The record is from RefSeq and is a predicted model, not a curated record.
CCCUUCUCCUCUAUUUCUUUGCUGUGACCAGCAAUUUUUAGUGUACUUUGGCAACUUUUUCCGAGCAACGAUCCAGCGCCCGUAAGAGAGAAAAGUGGCGACUGUACUUACAUCCUGAUUUUUGAGAGCUGCUAAUUCAGUGCAACUGUUGCUAAGGUAAAUCAUUUUAAUCAACGCACGCAAAUAUUUCUUCAGGGAAGGGGCCGACAAAAAAUGACCUAGACAAAAGUUGUUGGGUUUUGAGGGAGACAUAAGAUGGUGUCAUUAAUUUGACUUUGAAUAGUUGAAGGUCACCUAAAGAAGAGCAUCAUCACACAUGGUAAUUUACUUGGCUGUCUUCAAUACAGGAUGAUUGGAUCCAACCAGCUUCCUCAGGUG